RNAcentral lists this long non-coding RNA (228 nucleotides) under Elaeis guineensis (African oil palm). Its description in RNAcentral is "long non-coding RNA (EGUI_LNC023538)". Lineage: Eukaryota; Viridiplantae; Streptophyta; Magnoliopsida; Arecales; Arecaceae. The record is from RNAcentral.
CAGAGUUGUAGCGACCGAGGGCAGUCAUCUCGUUGAUCUAUUUGUUCCUACUGUGAAGCUUCAAACUACGUGGGCUAGAAUUACUUAUGUGUGUCGGAGCCUCCAUAUUGAUCAUCUGUUCAUUGAAUAUGACACAGCUACUGUGAUGACUUGGCUUCAGAAGUGCAUGUAGGGAGACACCAAUCACUCUUUUUUGCAUGAGAUUGCGGCUAUGCUAUCGAACCAUGC